Molecule: ribosomal RNA, 382 nt
Filed under: uncultured bacterium
Lineage: Bacteria
Description: bacterial SSU rRNA
Rfam family: Bacterial small subunit ribosomal RNA
Source: RNAcentral
UAAUACAGAGACCUCAAGCGUUAUCCGGAAUCGUUGGGCGUAAAGCGUACCGAUAGGUGGUCUAACAAGCCAGAAGUGAAAUCUCCGAGCUCAACUCGGAAUCUGUCUUUUGGAACUGUUAGACUAGAGGGGCAAAGAGGAAGCUGGAACCAGCGGUGUAGUAGUGAAAUGCGUUGAUAUCGCUGGGAACACCAAUAGCGAAGGCGGGCUUCUGGGUGCCACCUGACACUGCUAAGACGAAAGCGUGGGGAGCGAAUGGGAUUAGAUACCCCAGUAGUCCACGCUGUAAACGAUGUACAUUAGGUGCUAAGAAGUAUCGACCCUUGUUAGUACCAAAGCUAACGCGUUAAAUGUACCGCCUGGGGAGUACGGCCGCAAGGCU